ACCUAGGGUAGAGGUGCUGUAAUUAAGAGUAUCUAUUAUGAGUUGGCUAAACUGUGAGUAAUAGAGAAAGGAAUUAUGGCCGAAGAGUAAAAAGUUAGCAAGGUUUUACUCUGGCUAUAUGUAUAAGAUAUGUAUGGCUGUCACUUAAGUAAGUGGAGAGCUACAGGGUCA
Molecule: non-coding RNA, 171 nt
Filed under: Clostridium collagenovorans
Lineage: Bacteria; Bacillati; Bacillota; Clostridia; Eubacteriales; Clostridiaceae
Also listed under: 1 other name
Description: Lysine sequence
Rfam family: Lysine riboswitch aptamer
About the family: Riboswitches are metabolite binding domains within certain messenger RNAs that serve as precision sensors for their corresponding targets. Allosteric rearrangement of mRNA structure is mediated by ligand binding, and this results in modulation of gene expression.
Source: RNAcentral